Macaca fascicularis (crab-eating macaque) is the source of this 303-nucleotide unclassified non-coding RNA. It matches the Rfam family "Metazoan signal recognition particle RNA". Rfam says of the family: The signal recognition particle (SRP) is a universally conserved ribonucleoprotein. It is involved in the co-translational targeting of proteins to membranes. Lineage: Eukaryota; Metazoa; Chordata; Mammalia; Primates; Cercopithecidae. The record is from Ensembl.
UCUGGGCACAGUGGUGCAUACCUAUAGUACCAGCCACUCAGGAGGCUGAGGCAGGAGGAUCACUUGAGUCACAGGAAUUCUGGGUUUUAGUGCAUUAUACCAAUUGGGUAUCUGCUUUAACUUCAGCAUUAGUGCAGUGACCCCUCAGAAGCAGGGGACCACCAGGUUGCCCAAGGAGGGUGAACCGGCCCGGGUAGCAAAUAGAGCAGAUCAAAUAACUCUCCUAUGCUGAUCAGUAGUGGGAUUGCACCUGUAAAAAGCCACUGCACUCCAGCCUGGACAACAUAGUGAAACCCGUCUCUU